AUCCGCUACCUACACCCCUCUUCUCCUUUCUCACACUCCAUCUCUGAAGCUUGCAGGCUCCAUGUGCCAUUUCAGCAGAUUUCAGGGUGGUGAUGGCCGUGUUCUUUUGAAAAUCCCUCUUCAUAAAAUAUGAGCAAAGUCUCAGCAUGUGCGGCUUGUUUCCAGUUUGAUGUAAACGUUGGGCGCAGAGUUCUUAACUUGUUAAUUUGGCAUGGAUUUACCAUAUUGUUUGUCAGCUUAUAGGAAUUUGCCAAAACAUGUUAAAACUUUAAAAAUGUGGAAGUGAAAUAUCCUCAUCAGUAGCUUGAGUUUUUUUUUUUUUUUUAUUAGGAUCAGUUGCUAGGUUUGAGUCUAAGUCUGGGGCAAUUUAUUCAAGACCUUUGGAAAUUAGAAAGUGUACUUGUGAACUUGAGAUCCCUUGUUGAGAUGAGUUAAUUCACCGAGGCAUA
This is a long non-coding RNA of Lycium barbarum (goji berry), 449 nucleotides long. RefSeq lists it as uncharacterized. Lineage: Eukaryota; Viridiplantae; Streptophyta; Magnoliopsida; Solanales; Solanaceae. The record is from RefSeq and is a predicted model, not a curated record. The transcript is spliced from 2 exons.